GGGCCCGUGGCUCAGCCAGGUUAGAGAGGACUACCUAGAUCGGCUGGCUCUUAACCAGCAUGUCGUGGGUUCGAAUCCCACCGGGCCCG
This 89-nucleotide transfer RNA is filed under the name archaeon. Its description in RNAcentral is "tRNA-Lys". It matches the Rfam family "tRNA". Rfam says of the family: Transfer RNA (tRNA) molecules are approximately 80 nucleotides in length. Their secondary structure includes four short double-helical elements and three loops (D, anti-codon, and T loops). Further hydrogen bonds mediate the characteristic L-shaped molecular structure. tRNAs have two regions of fundamental functional importance: the anti-codon, which is responsible for specific mRNA codon recognition, and the 3' end, to which the tRNAs corresponding amino acid is attached (by aminoacyl-tRNA synthetases). tRNAs cope with the degeneracy of the genetic code in two manners: having more than one tRNA (with a specific anti-codon) for a particular amino acid; and 'wobble' base-pairing, i.e. permitting non-standard base-pairing at the 3rd anti-codon position. The record is from RNAcentral.